Molecule: long non-coding RNA, 2056 nt
Organism: Cryptotermes secundus
Lineage: Eukaryota; Metazoa; Arthropoda; Insecta; Blattodea; Kalotermitidae
Exons: 2
Source: RefSeq, a predicted model, not a curated record
CAGUUCUGUACAGCAUAUACCAUCAUCAGAAUCCUUUCAAGUCUAUAUAAAUUACAAUUUAUUAGACGUAAUCAAAUAUUCAUUAUAAUGCGCCUAAUUGUAAUGAACGGUUACAAGAUGUGUUGGAGUUUAGGUAUGUGUAACCCUAGGUUGUGCGUAAAAGCAAAUGCUUAGAAGGGCGCUGAAGUUGAAGUCGGAAGUAAAUUUCUUUAGUUUGGUGGGGUUGGGUGAGACUCCAAUUGGUAUGUCAACCACUGUACUGGCCCCGAAUGAUAGAUGAGUAUUGAGCGUUUUGGUGAAAUAAUUGAAAGGGGAAACGGAAUUACUCGAAGAAAAUCUACCCCAUUGCCACUUUGCCCACCACAAAUCUCACAUGACUUAACUUGGGGUCGAACUCGGGCCGCCGCGGUGGGAAACAGGAGACUAACCGCCUGAGAUAUGGAACGGCCUCAACUCGGAAGUAAGAAACAGAAAUAAUGCCACGUCAUAUAAAUGUGUGAUUUAAAUUUCAUAUUUUAUACUUGUAUAGUUCGCUUGCAGACUAAAAUCACGGAGUUUGUUUCUUGAUCAUUACCUAACAAACUCCAUUCGCACCAUAACGACGAGCGAUGUUAUUGCGCAUGUUCUAAGUAACAAUUACCAAAGAUACGGAGUCACAUUCCAAAAAUACAGCAAUAUUCAUUUUCAGAAAAACCUGUGCCGUGCAGCAGACUUUUUGAACUCCCGCCCUGUUGUCAUGGUUUGCGGAAAUUGACGAAUUUUCAUGAACGCUCAAGAAGCUGAAGAACGCGUGUCGCUAGAGGCAGACAGUCAUGUUCGGUCAUGUUGGUACAUGCAAGAGUGGUUGACGUGACCAUUAUUCUAACUAUAAGUGCCUGUUUCGUCGACUCUUAUUGUGCUUAAUACGUUCAUUGUAGUUUAAUAUAAUGUGUGGGCUUUUACAUGUUAUUCAUAUACAAACUGAAAUAAUUGCAGUAUGAACUUCGUAUCAGGGAACAUAGACCAUAGAUUGUUAUGUGCUGUUCAGACAUGUAACCUAAUUCAGCGACAUCUCAGGCAACUGGUAAAGAUUUCCCGCCAGAGGCAAGUCACGUCCAAUCAGGUUUCGAGAUAAGAAAGAACCCCUGCCGUCCCCAUGAUCCUCAUCUGUCUCCGGCAAGACAAGCUGCAGCUAGUAUCCGGUCUUUGUGUUGAAGUGACGUCACGCUGGCUAUAUAUAACGCACUCGGAUUUAUAUGCAAAUACAUAUUUCGGUGUGACCGCGCAACUUAUCCAGUUGUUAACUGCACUGUUAGUAUGAAAUGAAUGAAUCUCUUUCAUAGUGAACUAGAAGUAAAAAUAAUACCUCAAGAUACAGCACUAAAAGUUCUGAAUCACGGGCUUCCAAGUAUAAACCACGGACCUACCGUGACAGUUAUUCACUAGCACUGAAACAAACUCUCGGUCUCGGAUACAUUUAGGGCAGUUAUGUCGCGUUAAUGGAUUCUACUUAUAAUUCGCAAUGCAUAAAACGCUCAUUAAAUGAAUUUCACUGUCGAGUGUCGGGUACUUCUUCGUAUUCCGAAAUUCCCGGGUCCAUCUUCAUUCCGGAGCUGACUGUUCUGACUGGUAUUCCUCAGUCGUUCUAGGCAAUACUUCAAAAGGGGCCACUUGCUAUCGGAUUUUUCCAAGUCACUCACUGUCAUCUCCCGUUAUAUAAAUAUUAACAUUUUAUUAUAUACAAAAUCUUUACACGAAACUCUUUUUGUGAGGAAAUGUGAGACACAUGGCUAGAACUUCGUGAAAAGUAGAAUUUUACUUCAACCCCUAUAAAAUAAAUUUAUUUUCCCUCUUCAACUUUUAAUGCAUAUCCCACAUAAAAUUUAAUUGAAAUCUGCUCAGUAAUUUCAGAGAUGAUUCACGUGGGAGGACGGAUAUACUAACUAAGAGGCAGAACACAGGACCUUCCUAUUAUACGUGCCUUUGAAAAACUCUGUGUAAAUAAUGCAUAAACGCAACAUGCAAUUAAAUAUUGUGAAGAACUUAAACGAUGAAACAUAGAAGAUCAACAGUGAAA